Sapajus apella (tufted capuchin) is the source of this 1337-nucleotide RNA transcript. RefSeq lists it as uncharacterized. NCBI's taxonomy places the organism in Eukaryota, Metazoa, Chordata, Mammalia, Primates, Cebidae. The transcript is spliced from 4 exons. The record is from RefSeq and is a predicted model, not a curated record.
UGCCUGUAAUCCCAGCUACUCGGGAGGCUGAGGCAGGAGAAUCAUUUGAACUCAAAAUAUACCCUAUUUAACCCCUGACAACUGGAACAGGGGCGUCCACAGUCAGAGGAGGAGGAGGGCAGAAGUGUGCACUAGAACACCAGAUGUUUGUGGCUUAAAAUGAAAUGGAUGCAGAAUAAAUAGCCCCAAAUAAACUUCUAUCUGUGGUGUCCAGUCCCCCUCCUUGGCCAGGCAUCAAGGCUACGUGUUGUUCAUUUAACCACGAACAUCCUAAUCUCAGGACUUUGAAGAUAGUAAUCACCCAUCUCAAACCAGACACUGCCCACAGUAGCUGAGAAAGAAGCCAAAGGUGGUGAAUGAUUAGCAGAACUGCCAGGCAGCUCCAGAGCCUGAACACAGCGUACCAGGAAAGCUGUUUUGUUGGGGAAACUCAGACUGACCAAAGGAGCCAAGGAGGCCCUUCUACUCCAUAUAUCACUAAAAGUGUAGAAACAGCUCCAGGCGACGGAAAACCAGCUGCCUUCAUCAGAAACUCACAGGUGGCAUUUCUAUGGGGAAUCGACACAAGGGAAAAGGAAGCAUUUCAUCUCUAAGUUAUGGAGGCAUCACAAUUACACCAUCAUUGCACAGACGGAAGUGCAAGUGAGGGCAGGGGGUUGGGAGAGGAAGUGGCUUUGAAAAAUUGGUACGAUGGUGACAAUAAUGAUUACACAAAUUUUGGGUCAGCUAACUCCUUUUGGUGCCCUAGAUACAUGUGUCUGGUAGCCACUAACUACACGUGUCUAUUUACAUUAAAAUUAAGAUUAAUUGAAACUAAAUAAAAUUUAAAAUUCAGUUCUUCAGUCACAUGAGCCACAUUUCAAUUACUCAAAAACCGCAUGUGGCUAGUGACUGCUAUAUUCUAGGCCAGCACAGGUAGAGAACACUUUUAUCACUGCAGAAAGUUGUAUUGGACAGUGCUGUCCAAGGGAGUGUACAGAGUGAAAAGAAAAAUUGAAGGCCUUAAAUUCUCCAUUCAGAAGAUGGGUGGAAAAUGAAAACACUUUUAUGCCAGCUUUGAAGGAAUCCCUCAUUUCUUCUGUUUGCAUGGCAGAUAUGGCAAUGAUUACAUCAAGUGCUGUAUUAUAUGGCUUGUACAGUGGCAGAGCCAAUCAAAUGCUUGUUCAUGCCAGUCUCUAAGACUAAAUUAAGUGCUCUAGUGGGAGAAGGAAUGACAUCCUGAGAUAUGAGAGGGAGAAACAGGUGAGGCUAAAAACUUUGUUUUAUGUUUUUUUGAGACAAGGUCUCACUCUGACACCCAGGCUGGGGUACAGUGACACAAUCUCAGUUCACUGCAA